AGCCAAGAAGAGAAAGUCAGAUAAGAAUCCAAAUUCACCAAGAAGAUCCAAAUCCAUGAAACAUAAAAAUGACUGAACAGAAGAAACGAACCGGAGAAAAUUUCCACGUCAAAGAAGGCAGAGCCUCAGAGCACACCUACUCAUUAUGCAAUCGUCACGGACCAAUGGUAGUUCGAAGGCGUUUACCAGCCGGAGCAAACUUUUCCAGAAAGUUUGCUUUGGCAAGCUGUUUCGAACACCCAAAGUGAACUCCAAAUUUUGUUCGAAAUGACAUCAUACCAGUUCGUUCUUCGAUUUCGCUUGAAGUAUAUGGGGCCUGUAGUGGUCAUUCACACAGAACUUGUUUUUGCAUUGAAAAACAUGACAUUGGGAAUGGGGGGGAAAACGCAAGGACACUUUUUUUUUUUAUUAAACUUCUUUAGCUUAAUUGUCAAACACGACCAUCUAGCGCAUGUUUACGAAGAAAAACAAUGAAAAUGCAGUGGAGUGGAAUACAAAAACACACUCUGUGUUAACGGCCCCUUAAGUUGCAUUCAGCAAGUUCAAGGUCCAAUUUAAAAGGUUUACAUGCUGGUUAAAUAUGUUGUUAGUGAUAAAACAACUAUGUUGUUAGUCUUUGAGUCAUUGAAAGUUUUUGAAAAUAAUUUUAUUUAAC
This is a long non-coding RNA of Sinocyclocheilus rhinocerous, 655 nucleotides long. RefSeq lists it as uncharacterized. The record is from RefSeq and is a predicted model, not a curated record. NCBI's taxonomy places the organism in Eukaryota, Metazoa, Chordata, Actinopteri, Cypriniformes, Cyprinidae. The transcript has 3 exons.